Molecule: transfer RNA, 70 nt
Filed under: Dipodomys ordii (Ord's kangaroo rat)
Lineage: Eukaryota; Metazoa; Chordata; Mammalia; Rodentia; Heteromyidae
Rfam family: tRNA
About the family: Transfer RNA (tRNA) molecules are approximately 80 nucleotides in length. Their secondary structure includes four short double-helical elements and three loops (D, anti-codon, and T loops).
Source: Rfam by way of RNAcentral
GGGAAUGUGGCUUAGUGGUAGAGUGCUUGCUCAGCAUGCAGGAAGCCCUGGGUUCAAUUCCUCAGUACCA